UGCUUGGGAUCGCAGUGGGCACCUCCCCCUUCCAUUCUUCUGUAUGAAAGAAGCCGGAAUUUGGACUGAGAAGAUGGUGUUUUUGAGGCACUACUCUGUCAUCUUCUCUGUCUGCUAGCUUUCUGAUUAAAGUCAUUGUUCCUUGCCUCAACAACUUCUCUUCCAGUUUACUGGCCUGUUGCGCGGUGAGCAGAGUGAGCCUGGACUCCGUAACAGGGAUCCUAACUGAGGGACUGGAAAGCUACCCGAGAAUUACCUGCCAAACCCGCGUCCAUCUUGGGCUGAGGACCGCUCUGGGGGCAUUAAUGCCACAGCACUCCCCCCUUCCUCACAGCAGAACCCGCGCUCCCUGGGCCACCGACCCCCCACCCCCACCCCGGGAGAAUCAGAAAAGUUCCCAGCAAUAGCCAUCUGUGUGGAGAGCAUGUCUGAGCUGAGAAGAGAGCAUCCUUGAGGAGGGCAAACUCCCAGACACUUGUCUCUCCCUGGAUUUCUGACCCGUGUCUUCUGGAAUGAAAAGAAAUAACAGCCAGCACUGCACUUUGAUGUUCUGAUGUGACACAAACAGGGGCUUCACACUUGCUUGAGUAGUUGGACUUGCCUCUUGCACCUCUGUCAUCACUGUGAGAAGAACGUGUCUUAACUAGUGACUCAUCUAAGGACGAUGAAGAGCCACUGCCCAGCUGACCUGCAGUUUUGCGAGAUUAAAUGAUUAUCAUCUUAAGAUACUGAGUUUUGGAGUGGUUUGUUACAUAGAAUAGGGGGGACCAUAGCUAACCAAUAUAUAUAUUCCAAUAGUUCCACAAAUGACCA
This is a non-coding RNA of Odocoileus virginianus texanus, 813 nucleotides long. The record is from RefSeq and is a predicted model, not a curated record. Lineage: Eukaryota; Metazoa; Chordata; Mammalia; Artiodactyla; Cervidae.